Molecule: ribosomal RNA, 497 nt
Filed under: uncultured bacterium
Lineage: Bacteria
Description: partial 16S ribosomal RNA
Rfam family: Bacterial small subunit ribosomal RNA
Source: RNAcentral
GAUGAACGCUGGCGGCGUGCCUAACACAUGCAAGUCGAGCGAACGGACGAGCAGCUUGCUUCUCUGAUGUUAGCGGCGGACGGGUGCGUAACACGUGGACAUCUCCCCUAUAAGCCUGGGUUAACUUCGGGAAACCGGAGCUAAUACCGGUUAAUAUUUUUAACCGCAUGGUUCAACAGUAAAAGACGGUCUUUCUAUCACUUAUAGAUGGAUCCGCGUUGCAUUAGCUAGUUGGUAAGGUAACGGCUUACCAAGGCAACGAUCCAUAGCGGACCUGAGAGGGUGAUCAGCCACACUAGAACUGAGCCACGGUCCAGACUACUACGGGAGGCAGCAGUAGGGAAUCUUCCGCAAUGGGCGAAAGCCUGACGGAACAACGCCACGUGAGUGAUAAAGGUCUUCGGAUCGUAAAACUCUGUUAUUAGGGAAAAACAUAUGUGUAAGUAACUGUGCACAUCUUGACGGUACCUAAUCAGAAAGCCACGGCUAACUACGUG